UACGUAGGUGGCGAGCGUUGUCCGGAAUUACUGGGUGUAAAGGGAGCGUAGGCGGGAACGCAAGUUGAAUGUGAAAACUAUGGGCUCAACCGAUAGUUGCGUUCAAAACUGCGAAUCUUGAGUGAAGUAGAGGCAGGCGGAAUUCCUAGUGUAGCGGUAAAAUGCGUAGAUAUUAGGAGGAACACCAGUGGCGAAGGCGGCCUGCUGGGCUUUAACUGACGCUGAGGCUCGAAAGUGUGGGGAGCAAACAG
Molecule: ribosomal RNA, 251 nt
Filed under: uncultured bacterium
Lineage: Bacteria
Description: partial 16S ribosomal RNA
Rfam family: Bacterial small subunit ribosomal RNA
Source: RNAcentral